GAUUUCUGGGCAUCAGUUUCUGGCCGGCCACGGUUUCGUGUGUUAGUGCUUGAAGCUUUGUCCAUCCUUCCAAUUGCUAGUCACUAUUCUUCAUUGAAUGGUGAUUAGUAUUGGAUCUUUUACUUUGAAAAAAUUAGAGUGUUUCAAGCAGGCUUUAUGCUAUGAAUACAUUAGCAUGGAAUAAUAAUUUAGGACUUCGGUUCUAUUUUGUUGGUUUCUAUAACUGAAGUAAUGAUUGAUAGGGAUAGUUGGGGGUGCUAGUAUUGGCCGGCCAGAGGUGAAAUUCUUGGAUUCGGUCAAGACUAACUUAUGCGAAAGCAUU
RNAcentral lists this ribosomal RNA (322 nucleotides) under uncultured Sandona. RNAcentral's name for it is "SSU rRNA". The stretch from base 113 to 322 matches the Rfam family "Eukaryotic small subunit ribosomal RNA", at positions 745 to 955 of the family's 1831-position model. The record is from RNAcentral. Lineage: Eukaryota; Cercozoa; Glissomonadida.